UAGUAUUCGGUAGCAUUACCAAAUUAAUAUUUUUUUUAUUAACAAAUUAAUUGUUAUUCCUCUAUUUAUUCGAUCGGGAAGCAUGAAUAAUUAGGUAUAACGAAGACCUUUGUUCCCAAAAUUUCAAAGCAAUAGCCGAAUUUCUAUUUUAAAAGUGAAUACCAAAGAAAUCGCUUUUUCUCGAUAAAUCUUCAUUUAUUGAAGAAAAUUUAUAACUUUAAAAAAUUGAACCCCUUUAACCUUAUCGAAAAAGUGUUUUUAAACAACGUUCUCAUUUAACUCUUUUCGUCUAAAUUAAAAACGAAAAAAACAUCGGAAAAACGAUCUUAAAAUUUUUAUAAACAAGUUUCCUCACACUUGUGAGCGUGCACACAAUUUUAUUAAAUGUAUUAAUAUUGUUUAAUGUUUACGUUCAAAAAUCAGGUCUAUUUCUUACUUAUCAAAAAAAUGGCGAUUUUUCAGCUAAUUUAUCUAGACUACUACCACGUUAUUUCUAGAAAAGUAAGCUUUGAUAAAAAUUGAAAUGACAACAGUUUAAAAAUUGCUUUUGUUUGAAUCAAGUCAAAAUUUAAAGUUCCUCUUUUUAAAAAAAUCUGAAAAUGCCUCUUUUGCCGCCCUGUUCUUAUGCACCGCAAUGUGGUAGUGGUUCUUUGCCUCCCUGCUGUCCUUCCCUUAUGAAUCCUCCACCUCCAGCAGUUUCGAAAUGUGGAUGUUGUGUAGGACUGCCUCCUCCUCCAAAGUCAGGAGAUAUGGUCCCGUGGUGUAAUGUCUAUGUUCCCGCUGUAACUCCCUUCGGGUAGAACAUCCCUACAUGACAAAAUAAAAAAAAUAUUUAUUAUGUUGAUGGUAAACAUUGAAAAGCCUGGUAUACGUAAUACUCAACAUUAAUGUAACGUCCCCUGAACGUUGUAUGUCUACAAUUUUAUCUGAAGAGUGUUAUCUAAAGUAAAUGUUAACUACUUGGUAUAAGGGUGAAGUCAAAUAGCUGUUUUGUUAAUCGUAAAAAUAAAAAAAGAAAAUAAAAUACUUUUGACAACA
Agrilus planipennis (emerald ash borer) is the source of this 1038-nucleotide long non-coding RNA. RefSeq lists it as uncharacterized. The transcript is spliced from 2 exons. The record is from RefSeq and is a predicted model, not a curated record. Lineage: Eukaryota; Metazoa; Arthropoda; Insecta; Coleoptera; Buprestidae.